This 360-nucleotide long non-coding RNA is filed under the name Bos mutus (wild yak). RNAcentral describes it as "lncRNA (ENSBMUG00000023133.1)". Lineage: Eukaryota; Metazoa; Chordata; Mammalia; Artiodactyla; Bovidae. The record is from RNAcentral.
CUGAAGUUCUCACAUACACACAGGCCCAUAUCAGAUAAAAGUGCCCCAGACCUUUCUGAAUCAGGACCAUCAUCAUCUGGCCUGAAGAGAAGUAUAAUACAGAAUUAAAAGAAGACUCUUCAAGUCUCUGUCAUCCCUUAAGAACCCUGAAGCUCUGAUGAUGGGAUUACAUGAAAGUGAAACUUGAUUUCUCCCCUCAUCCCUUGAAGAGAGGACGGGCGGGAAGAAGAUCCUUAUGGACUCAAAAGUGGCAUUUGGGAGGUAAGACCUUUGGUACUCAAACAGUAUGGGAUUUUAAGAAUAAAGUGGAAGAAACCUGUCCAUAUCCUCUAAACUUAUUGAAACACUGUGAAUUGCCAG